GAACAAACGCUGGCGGCGUGUCUUAAGCAUGCAAGUUGAGCGGCAAGGAGGAGAGAUCCUCCCUAGAGCAGCGGACUGGUGAGUAACGCGUGGGUAAUCUAUCUUAGGCAUGGGGAUAGUCACUAGAAAUAGUGGGUAAUACCGAAUAAGUUCCAUAAGGGGAGGACUUAUGGAAGAAAGGUGCUACGGCACUGGCCUUAGGUGAGCUCGCGUCCCAUUAGCUAGUUGGUGAGGUAAAGGCCCACCAAGGCGAUGAUGGGUAGCCGGCCUGAGAGGGUGUACGGCCACACUGGGACUGAGAUACGGCCCAGACUCCUACGGGAGGCAGCAGCUAAGAAUAUUCCGCAAUGGACGGAAGUCUGACGGAGCGACGCCGCGUGGAUGAAGAAGGCCGAAAGGUUGUAAAGUUCUUUUGCUAGGGGAGAAUAAGUGUGGGAGGGAAUGCCUGCACGAUGACAAGGACUAGCGAAUAAGUCCCGGCCAACUACGUGCCAGCAGCCGCGGUAACACGUAGGGGGCGAGCGUUGUUCGGAAUUACUGGGCGUAAAGGGCAUGUAGGCGGCUUGGUAAGCCUGGCGUGAAAGUCUGCAGCUUAACUGUAGGGAUGCGUUGGGAACUGCUUAGCUUGAGUUACGGAGAGGGAGCUGGAAUUCUCGGUGUAGCGGUGAUAUGCGUAGAUAUCGAGAAGAACACCAGCGGCGUAAGCGGCUCUCUAUCCUGAAACUGACGCUGAGGUGCGAAAGCCAGGGGAGCGAACGGGAUUAGAUACCCCGGUAGUCCUGGCCAUAAACGAUGUGCACUUGGUGUUGGGCCGCGAGGCUCAGUGCCGAAGCUAACGCAUUAAGUGCACCGCCUGGGGAGUACGACCGCAAGGUUGAAACUCAAAGGAAUUGACGGGGGCCCGCACAAGCGGUGGAGCAUGUGGCUUAAUUCGACGCAACGCGAAGAACCUUACCGGGGUUUGACAUGCAGCUGCUCAUCCUGCGAAAGCAGGACUCCUUCGAGGGUGCUGCACAGGUGCUGCAUGGCUGUCGUCAGCUCGUGCCGUGAGGUGUUGGGUUAAGUCCCGCAACGAGCGCAACCCUUGUCCUUAGUUGCUAACACGAAAGGUGAGCACUCUAAGGAGACUGCCCCAGUCAAUGGGGAGGAAGGUGGGGAUGACGUCAAGUCAUCAUGGCCCUUAUAUCCCGGGCUGCACACGUGCUACAAUGGCCGGUACAAUGGGUAGCGACACCGCGAGGUGGAGCCAAUCUCAAAAACCGGUCUCAGUUCGGAUUGAAGUCUGCAACUCGACUUCAUGAAGCUGGAAUCGCUAGUAAUGGCGGAUCAGCUACGCCGCCGUGAAUACGUUCCCGGGCCU
Molecule: ribosomal RNA, 1360 nt
Filed under: uncultured bacterium
Lineage: Bacteria
Description: bacterial SSU rRNA
Rfam family: Bacterial small subunit ribosomal RNA
Source: RNAcentral